Molecule: long non-coding RNA, 873 nt
Organism: Leopardus geoffroyi (Geoffroy's cat)
Lineage: Eukaryota; Metazoa; Chordata; Mammalia; Carnivora; Felidae
Exons: 4
Source: RefSeq, a predicted model, not a curated record
GUGUGGCGGGAUCCUGAGACGGGCUUAAAGUAAGAGUUUGCCCUUGUGCAGAGGGGCCGAGGAAAGUACAGGGGAGCUAUAGGAACUUCUCUGCAGAAAAACUUUCGGAUCUUUUGUGUUCCAACUCCGUUGAAUGUUUUCCUGGAGACUCCACUGAGACAUGGUCUGCACUGUCCAUCACUGUGGCCCCCAGCCUUUGACCAGAUGUGGUACACGCAGAGGACCCUUGUGCCUUGCUGCUUGUGGCCUGUCAAGUCUGUGCCAUCGUUAGUGCAUACCUUUUCCUGGAACUAUUGAGGAAAGAAUAUGUUUUCUCGUACUGAGUUUGCUGAGAAGACAAAAUGUUGGCAGCUAUCCUGUCACCACUGGAGAUCAGCCUGUCUGAGAAUGGAGCCACAACAGAGGAAAGCAGACAAGAUACAAGACAUGCAAACCAAUCCUUUAACAUUUGAGCUCCUGGAUCCAGCCAUGCCUGAGCCUGCAAUUUUUAGAAAAGUAUGAAGAGCAACAGAAGGAGGAAUUGACCACCAGGAGCUUGGAGGGAUACCAGCAUACUGAGUAUCUUCUCUCUCCUAAAAAGAUUUAGUACUAGAAAGCUGAAGUGAAGCCUCAUAUCCUUAAAAUUCAUUACAGCCAUAAAAAGCACCGCCAUAUUUUCAUGAGCUAUUAAAACAAACAGUUAAAAAUAAAGCCCAUUUGGUAUCCAAUAUCCUUCACACGAUCGUAUUUUUUCAUGUAUUUGUGAAGCAACAAACGUUGGCUAACUGCAAUACAUCUCCUUGUAACUGAUUCCAAUUUCCACAUUCUCUUUUGCAUCCUAAAAUAAUCUACAAUUUCUCUAGCCAUACAAUUUAUAAAUUACAUAGACUUCCA